Molecule: ribosomal RNA, 466 nt
Filed under: uncultured bacterium
Lineage: Bacteria
Description: partial 16S ribosomal RNA
Rfam family: Bacterial small subunit ribosomal RNA
Source: RNAcentral
GACGAACGCUGGCGGCGUGCUUAACACAUGCAAGUCGAACGGAAAGGCCCUGCUUGUGGGGUUCUCGAGUGGCGAACGGGUGGGUAACACGUGGGUGAAUUGCCUUCCACUUCGGGUUAAGUUGGGGAAACUGGGCCUAUUACCGGCUGGGAACCAUCUUUAGCGUGGUGGUUGAAAAGUUUUUUCGGUGUAGGAUGACCCCGCGGCCUAUCAGCUUGUUGGUGGGGUAAUGGCCUACCAAGGCGGCGACGGGUAGCCGGCCUGCGAGGGUGUACGGCCACAUUGGGACUGUGAUACGGCCCAGACUCCUACGGGAGGCAGCAGUGGGGAAUAUUGCGCAAUGGGCGCAAGCCUGAUGCAGCGACGCCGCGUGGGGGAUGAAGGCCUUCGGGUUGUAAACUCCUUUCGCUAGGGACGAAGCUUUGUUGUGACGGUACCUAGAUAAGAAGCACCGGCUAACUACGUG